Molecule: long non-coding RNA, 1890 nt
Filed under: Bos indicus x Bos taurus (hybrid cattle)
Lineage: Eukaryota; Metazoa; Chordata; Mammalia; Artiodactyla; Bovidae
Description: lncRNA (ENSBIXG00000029796.1)
Source: RNAcentral
GGGGAGUUUCCGGCAAGAGGGGGGAUGUGGUCCCUUCUUCGACUCAUAGUGGGUCCUGGGAUGUCCCUGCUGAUCUCAGUCAACUGGCCUCACUCCUUGCCUCUCACUUCUCUCAGUAAACCAAGCAGGAAGAAUUUGGGAGCCCGAGCCUGACAGCCUUCCUGGAGCUGCUGAGGCAGACAGUGAGGGCACUCUGGGGCUCCUUGUGUGCUGAGUGAUUCUCUGUGUUCUCUGUCCCUGCCUUCCUCCGACUGUAAUGCUGUAUUACUUCCCGUUUGCUGACCUGAGGGCCAGACCUCACCUGGAAGAUGUCAGAUCCACAGACGCUGGGUGAGAAGUGCACCGGCAUCUCAUCUGGACGAUUCUGCCUAAGGCUUCCUGGAAAUGGCUGCUGCAGCAUGGGCUCGUGGGCCCCACAGGAACUCGUAACGUGGAGGAUCGCUGUUGGCAACCUGGCGGUACUCCAGGUACUUCAUCGUCACAAAGUCUUUGGUGAUGAGCUUCCUGGGCUCUCAGUAGAUGAAGUGUUUUCUCCCAGCAUAUACUCGCAUCAUAUUCAAGAGUUUCCAGAUAUCUUCCUCAGCGGCACAGUUGCCCUUCACGAAGAUCACACCCAGAACUGUCAUCAGGAGACCGGUCUUAGGUAAGCUCCUACCAUCCCACACUCUCCCAUUGUUGGGCAGGUUCAGUUUGCUGACAAGGUCAUAGGAGUGGAUGGUUGAAUCAACUUCCUUCAAGUCAACUGCAAAAACAGCCUCGAUGUGUUCAGAGGCUCUCUUGAGAAUCUCGGCAAAUCGGUUAUGGUAUCUUGGGUGGAUAAUCUUCAGCAUGUUUUCCUUCAUGAUGGGCUGCUUCAUUUUAUAUUUAUGCAGAAGAACUGUUCCAACAAACUUGUCAUGCUGUUCAGAGUAUCACUGUAGGUGUUCUCGGUAGAAGAUGAGACAUCGGAGGAACCUGAAUCUUCCUCAUCUUGACUGGUAUCUUCUUCAUCAGAUUUUGUGUCAGAAGUAGUUGAAAGAAAAAGUGCUGGUAGUAGAUGGGGCUUCCGAAGACCCCUGGGAAGUGCUAUUUGACCCAGUAGCUGAUGAGCUCUGUGAAUUAUCUUCUAAAAGAGAAGAGGUAGAGGGAAGCUCUUCCAUUACUGCAGCGGGCUGAACUCCCUUUUGACUCUGGGGCUCAUAUUGGGCCUGGUGGCAUUUCUCAUGGAUGUAGAGCUUAUGAUUCUGACCCCGAGGCAUGAUGACUGCGCUGGGGGACAAUGAUUAGAAGUGUGAGUAGGAGGGCAAGUGAUAAGGGCACACAGGAAGACGAAGGUUGAGUGUGCAGCCACAGCAGGGAAAUACCACCUUGGUUAUCAGGAAGGCUAUAUUUGUGGUUUUCUUGAGGGCACUGUUCUGAAAACCCUCAGGGUUCCUAUUCUCCUAAUCAGCUGUCCUUUGGGAAACAUAUUGAAGGAAAUUAAAGUGAUCUUUAGGCUUCAUCCUGCUACCCCUGCCUCAGGCACGCUGGGGUGACAGAAAGGGCUGGUAGCCUCCUACACAGAGGCAUCUGUUAUUUCGCAUUCAAGACCACCACCCAACUAGUGGCCAGUCAUAGGACCCAUUCCCUCUGCUGUUCUCUAGUUGGCAUCACAAAGCUCCCUGGGAUUUCUGAGAAAUGAAGAGGUCCUCAGCUUAUCACCCCAGUCAGUAGUUAUCACCCAGUACUGAGUGCUCAGGGGGAAGUGUUCUGUCCUGGCCUCUGGAGUCCUCAACAUGAAUUAAGAGUACUUCCUUUGGUUCCCCAUAGGGCCUGGUGUCCCCACCCCUUUCUUGGAAUAGUAUCUGCACCUUCAUACUAAGGGUUUCAUUUCCUACACACCUGAUAUAAAUAAAUGUUGGUGGAACUUCA